GGGGGGUUGGUCCGGGAUUUACUGGGCGUAAGGGUGCGUAGGUGGAUAUUUAAGUCAGAUGUGAAAUCCCUGAGCUCAACUCAGGGCCUGCAUUUGAAACUGGAUGUCUGGAGUGCGGGAGAGGUAAGUGGAAUUCCUAGUGUAGCGGUGAAAUGCGUAGAGAUUAGGAAGAACACCAGUGGCGAAGGCGACUUACUGGACCGUAACUGACACUGAGGCACGAAAGCGUGGGUAGCAAACAGGAUUAGAUACCCUGGUAGUCCACGCCGUAAACGAUGAGUACUAGGUGUAGGGGGUAUCGACUCCCCCUGUGCCGCAGUUAACACAAUAAGUACUCCGCCUGGGAAGUACGAUCGCAAGAUUAAAACUCAAAGGAAUUGACGGGGGCCCGCACAAGCAGCGGAGCAUGUGGUUUAAUUCGAAGCAACGCGAAGAACCUUACCUAGACUUGACAUACCCUGAAUUACUCGUAACUGAGGAAGCUUUUCGGAGCAGGGAUACAGGUGGUGCAUGGUUGUCGUCAGCUCGUGUCGUGAGAUGUUAGGUUAAGUCCUGCAACGAGCGCAACCCUUAUCAUUAGUUGCUACCAUUCAGUUGAGCACUCUAGUGAGACUGCCCGGGUUAACCGGGAGGAAGGUGGGGAUGACGUCAAAUCAUCAUGCCCCUUAUGUCUAGGGCUACACACGUGCUACAAUGGUGAGUACAAAGAGAUGCAAUCCCGCGAGGGGGAGCCAAACUUAUAAAACUCAUCUCAGUUCGGAUUGUAGGCUGAAACUCGCCUACAUGAAGCUGGAGUUGCUAGUAAUCGCGAAUCAGCAUGUCGCGGUGAAUACGUUCCCGGGCCUUGUACACACCGCCCGUCACACCAUGAGAGCUGGCAACACCCGAAGUCCGUAGUCUAACCGUAACGAGGACGCGGCCGACGUGGGGUUAGUGAUUGGGGUGAAGUCGUAACAAGGUAAC
This 963-nucleotide ribosomal RNA is filed under the name uncultured bacterium. RNAcentral describes it as "bacterial SSU rRNA". It matches the Rfam family "Bacterial small subunit ribosomal RNA", at positions 533 to 1500 of the family's 1533-position model. The record is from RNAcentral.